RNAcentral lists this transfer RNA (69 nucleotides) under Marmota monax (woodchuck). RNAcentral describes it as "tRNA.Ala". The stretch from base 4 to 64 matches the Rfam family "tRNA", at positions 6 to 65 of the family's 71-position model. From Rfam's summary of the family: Transfer RNA (tRNA) molecules are approximately 80 nucleotides in length. The record is from RNAcentral. Lineage: Eukaryota; Metazoa; Chordata; Mammalia; Rodentia; Sciuridae.
GUUUGUGGCUCAAUGGUAGAGCACUUGCCUAGCAUGCAUGAGGCACUGGGUUCAAUCCUCGGCAUCACA